RNAcentral lists this small nucleolar RNA (114 nucleotides) under Olea europaea subsp. europaea. Its description in RNAcentral is "Small nucleolar RNA Z278". It matches the Rfam family "Small nucleolar RNA Z278". Rfam says of the family: snoZ278 is a C/D box small nucleolar RNA. Its methylation guide targets have not been reported. The record is from Rfam by way of RNAcentral. Lineage: Eukaryota; Viridiplantae; Streptophyta; Magnoliopsida; Lamiales; Oleaceae.
GUCCAUGAUGAGCCACAUAAUUGAGAUGUGGUUGGCCUCAAGUCCCUGUUUUUCAGGGAGAACCCACUUGAGGAUGCUACAUCAAAGCAUGAAAUCGGUGGAAAUCUCUGAGGC